GAUGAAUAACGCAGCGAAAUGCGAUACUUGGUGUGAAUUGCAGAAUCCCGUGAACCAUCGAGUCUUUGAACGCAAGUUGCGCCCGAAGCCUCGGCUAAGGGCACGUCUGCCUGGGCGUCACGCAUCGCGUCUCCCCCAAACCGCCAAGGCGGAGGGGAAGGAAGAUGGCUUCCCGUGCCUCACCCGGGCGCGGUUGGCCUAAAUUUGGAGCCCGCGGCACUUAGCUCUCGCGGCGAUAGGUGGUGAACAAGGCCUUGGCCGUGCAAACAACCCGCUGCGAAGCUCUAUGUCACGUGCGCUCGUCGGACCCUUUGAAGUUGCCUUUGGUGACUUAAAACCUUUGCGACCCCAGGUCAGGCGGGGCUACCCGCUGAAUUUAAGCAUAUCAAUAAGCGGAGGA
This 400-nucleotide unclassified non-coding RNA is filed under the name soil metagenome. RNAcentral describes it as "partial contains 5.8S ribosomal RNA, internal transcribed spacer 2, and large subunit ribosomal RNA". The stretch from base 1 to 120 matches the Rfam family "5.8S ribosomal RNA", at positions 35 to 154 of the family's 154-position model. The record is from RNAcentral.